UACGUAGGGGGCAAGCGUUGUCCGGAUUUAUUGGGCGUAAAGAGCGUGUAGGCGGCCAUACAGGUCCGUUGUGAAAACUCGAGGCUUAACCUCGAGACGUCGAUGGAAACCGUAUGGCUAGAGUCCGGAAGAGGAGAGUGGAAUUCCUGGUGUAGCGGUGAAAUGCGCAGAUAUCAGGAAGAACACCCGUGGCGAAGGCGGCUCUCUGGGACGGUACUGACGCUGAGACGCGAAAGCAUGGGGAGCGAACAGG
RNAcentral lists this ribosomal RNA (253 nucleotides) under uncultured bacterium. Its description in RNAcentral is "partial 16S ribosomal RNA". It matches the Rfam family "Bacterial small subunit ribosomal RNA", at positions 524 to 776 of the family's 1533-position model. The record is from RNAcentral.